This 206-nucleotide ribosomal RNA is filed under the name uncultured bacterium. RNAcentral's name for it is "partial 16S ribosomal RNA". It matches the Rfam family "Bacterial small subunit ribosomal RNA", at positions 328 to 544 of the family's 1533-position model. The record is from RNAcentral.
ACGCUCGACACCUACGGGAGGCAGCAGUGGGGAAUAUUGGGCAAUGGGCGCAAGCCUGACCCAGCAACGCCGCGUGAAGGAAGAAGGCUUUCGGGUUGUAAACUUCUUUUAUCAGGGACGAAAUAAAUGACGGUACCUGAUGAAUAAGCCACGGCUAACUACGUGCCGCAGCCGCGGUAAGUACUGAGGCGGGCGUGGCAAGGACG